AGAGACUAAAGACAGCAAAUUGCUCGUCGGACGUCCGCACAAGUGACCUGCACUCAGAGUUCCUCGUUGCCACAGGGCGGCGUGGGACCGUCCCGUUUCGAUGGGGCUUUAGCUCAGCUGGGAGAGCACCUGCUUUGCAAGCAGGGGGUCGUCGGUUCGAUCCCGACAAGCUCCACCACCAGCCAGUCAGUCAGUACAUUGGGUCUGUAGCUCAGGUGGUUAGAGCGCACCCCUGAUAAGGGUGAGGCCGGUGGUUCGAGUCCUCCCAGACCCACCACCCUGACGGACGAGCGGUAAAACUCUGAAUUGCGCACACACAUAAAGAUUUGAAGCAUCGAAGGCGUUGAGGCCUACGGUGCGUUCUUUGAAAACUGGAAUGUAGCGAGCGUUUUGAGACGGAAUGUCCAUGACGUGUCGUAGAGGCUAAGGCGAGUGUCGAGAGACACUUUAUUAAUUGAGUCGUUAUAUUCGAGUUCGGGCUUUGUACCCCCGAACCCAAUGACUCCGAGGCAACUUGGGGUUAUAU
Molecule: transfer RNA, 526 nt
Filed under: Lysobacter enzymogenes
Lineage: Bacteria; Pseudomonadati; Pseudomonadota; Gammaproteobacteria; Lysobacterales; Lysobacteraceae
Description: contains 16S-23S intergenic spacer region
Rfam family: tRNA (bases 201-274)
Source: RNAcentral